Molecule: long non-coding RNA, 144 nt
Organism: Penaeus indicus
Lineage: Eukaryota; Metazoa; Arthropoda; Malacostraca; Decapoda; Penaeidae
Exons: 2
Source: RefSeq, a predicted model, not a curated record
GUGGAAGAGAUGGGAGAAGAGAGAGAGAGAAGGUGGAAGAGGUAGGAGAGGAGAGAGAGAGAAAGAAAAGUGAGAGAGGUAGGAGAGGAAAAGCAUGAGAGAGAGAGAGUGAAGGUAGAAGAGGUAGGAGAGGAGAGAGAGAGA